AUGACUUCCCUUCACGUAUUUGUACAUGGCUAUCAUGUCUCCUCUCAGCCUUCUCUUCUGCAGGCUAAACAUGCCCAGCUCUUUAAGCCGCUCCUCAUAGGGCUUGUUCUCCAGACCCUUAAUCAUUUUAGUCGCCCUCCUCUGGAUGCUUUCCAGCUUGUCAACAUCUCCCUUCAACUGUGGUGCCCAAAAUUGGACACAGUAUUCCAGGUGUGGUCUGACCAAGGCAGAAUAGACACUAUACUCCUAUUGAUGCAGGCCAAAAUCCCAUUGGCUUUCAUAGCAGCCACAUCACAUUGCUGGCUCAUGUUUAACUUGUUGUCCACAAGGACUCCAAGAUCUUUUUCACAUGUACUGCUGUCCCCCAUUCUGUAUCUUUGCAUUCCAUUUUUUCUGCCGAAGUGA
RNAcentral lists this long non-coding RNA (405 nucleotides) under Anolis carolinensis (green anole). RNAcentral's name for it is "lncRNA (ENSACAG00000040326.1)". Lineage: Eukaryota; Metazoa; Chordata; Lepidosauria; Squamata; Anolidae. The record is from RNAcentral.